UCCGGAGGCGAUGGCGGCGGGGCCAUACCCGUUCCCAUCCCGAACACGGCAGUCAAGCCCGCCCACGCCGAUGGUACUGGAGCUCCGGCUCCGGGAGAGUAGGUAGCCUCCGGAA
RNAcentral lists this ribosomal RNA (115 nucleotides) under Fibrobacterales bacterium. The record is from RNAcentral. Lineage: Bacteria; Pseudomonadati; Fibrobacterota; Fibrobacteria; Fibrobacterales.